CGUUAGGUGCUUUUAAGCACCACUUAGUUUUUAAAUCCCAUUUUC
Myotis brandtii (Brandt's bat) is the source of this 45-nucleotide non-coding RNA. The record is from Rfam. NCBI's taxonomy places the organism in Eukaryota, Metazoa, Chordata, Mammalia, Chiroptera, Vespertilionidae.